Molecule: transfer RNA, 67 nt
Filed under: bovine gut metagenome
Rfam family: tRNA
About the family: Transfer RNA (tRNA) molecules are approximately 80 nucleotides in length. Their secondary structure includes four short double-helical elements and three loops (D, anti-codon, and T loops). Further hydrogen bonds mediate the characteristic L-shaped molecular structure. tRNAs have two regions of fundamental functional importance: the anti-codon, which is responsible for specific mRNA codon recognition, and the 3' end, to which the tRNAs corresponding amino acid is attached (by aminoacyl-tRNA synthetases). tRNAs cope with the degeneracy of the genetic code in two manners: having more than one tRNA (with a specific anti-codon) for a particular amino acid; and 'wobble' base-pairing, i.e. permitting non-standard base-pairing at the 3rd anti-codon position.
Source: RNAcentral
AGGCAUAGUUCAAUGGUAGAACGAGUGCUUCCCAAGCAUUAAAUGCGGGUUCGAUUCCCGUUGCUUG